This 472-nucleotide ribosomal RNA is filed under the name uncultured bacterium. RNAcentral's name for it is "bacterial SSU rRNA". It matches the Rfam family "Bacterial small subunit ribosomal RNA", at positions 355 to 825 of the family's 1533-position model. The record is from RNAcentral.
UCGGGAAUUUUGGGCAAUGGGCGAAAGCCUGAUCCAGCAAUGCCGCGUGAGUGAAGAAGGCCUUCGGGUUGUAAAGCUCUUUUGUCAGGGAAGAAACGGUGAAAGCUAAUAUCUUUUGCUAAUGACGGUACCUGAAGAAUAAGCACCGGCUAACUACGUGCCAGCAGCCGCGGUAAUACGUAGGGUGCAAGCGUUAAUCGGAAUUACUGGGCGUAAAGCGUGCGCAGGCGGUUUUGUAAGUCUGAUGUGAAAUCCCCGGGCUCAACCUGGGAAUUGCAUUGGAGACUGCAAGGCUAGAAUCUGGCAGAGGGGGGUAGAAUUCCACGUGUAGCAGUGAAAUGCGUAGAUAUGUGGAGGAACACCGAUGGCGAAGGCAGCCCCCUGGGUCAAGAUUGACGCUCAUGCACGAAAGCGUGGGGAGCAAACAGGAUUAGAUACCCACGUAGUCCCUGAGCGGGCUGGCAAGGCGCAU